Molecule: unclassified non-coding RNA, 436 nt
Filed under: Athalia rosae (coleseed sawfly)
Lineage: Eukaryota; Metazoa; Arthropoda; Insecta; Hymenoptera; Athaliidae
Description: misc RNA ENSAEAG00005006633.1
Source: RNAcentral
AAAGAAUCAACUUGUUUUUUCCUUUUUUCGCAGUCGUUGUGAAGUUCCUCGUAAGCACGGAGACGUUCGUCGAGCAGCAGGGUCUUCUCUUUAACAAUUCUAUCUUUUUCGAGCAGUUCACUUUUAUGCUGUUGAGAGAUAGUCUCCCACUUGAAGACUUGUUCCUCCAAUUGCCUAACUUUUUCCCUCAGCUGAUCGAUGUCUCUAUUUCGUUCGUCGACCAAUCCUUCCCUGAGCUGUACCUCCGACUCGAGGCGUUCCUUCAACUGGUCUCUUUCACCUUCCAAUUCCAAGGCCCAGGAGGAGGACCGGUGAGUCGGCGAGAGGCGCACCAUUUAGUUGGAGCCGGGACAGGAAGCUGCCUGAAAAUACACCCGACCUCCGCACAAAAAAGGUGGAAAAGUUAUUCUCGAUGUACUUCGAAGGGUCGUGAAAC